Molecule: ribosomal RNA, 466 nt
Filed under: uncultured bacterium
Lineage: Bacteria
Description: partial 16S ribosomal RNA
Rfam family: Bacterial small subunit ribosomal RNA
Source: RNAcentral
ACGAACGCUGGCGGCGUGCUUAACACAUGCCAGUCGAACGGAAAGGCCCUGCUUUUGUGGGGUGCUCGAGUGGCGAACGGGUGAGUAACACGUGAGUAACCUGCCCUUGACUUUGGGAUAACUUCAGGAAACUGGGGCUAAUACCGGAUAGGAGCUCCUGCUGCAUGGUGGGGGUUGGAAAGUUUCGGCGGUUGGGGAUGGACUCGCGGCUUAUCAGCUUGUUGGUGGGGUAGUGGCUUACCAAGGCUUUGACGGGUAGCCGGCCUGAGAGGGUGACCGGCCACAGUGGGACUGAGAGACGGCCCAGACUCCUACGGGAGGCAGCAGUGGGGAAUAUUGCACAAUGGGCGGAAGCCGGAUGCAGCAACGCCGCGUGCGGGAUGACGGCCUUCGGGUUGUAAACCGCUUUCGCCUGUGACGAAGCGUGAGUGACGGUAAUGGGUAAAGAAGCACAGGCUAACUACGU